RNAcentral lists this ribosomal RNA (508 nucleotides) under uncultured bacterium. RNAcentral describes it as "partial 16S ribosomal RNA". It matches the Rfam family "Bacterial small subunit ribosomal RNA", at positions 30 to 523 of the family's 1533-position model. The record is from RNAcentral.
AUUGAACGCUGGCGGCAGGCCUAACACAUGCAAGUCGAGCGGCAGCGGGAAAGUAGCUUGCUACUUUUGCCGGCGAGCGGCGGACGGGUGAGUAAUGCCUGGGAAAUUGCCCAGUCGAGGGGGAUAACAGUUGGAAACGACUGCUAAUACCGCAUACGCCCUAAGGGGGAAAGCAGGGGACCUUCGGGCCUUGCGCGAUGGGCUAUGGCCAGGUGGGACUAGCUAGUUGGUGAGGUAAUGGCUCACCAAGGCGACGAUCCCUAGCUGGUCUGAGAGGAUGAUCAGCCACACUGGAACUGAGACACGGUCCAGACUCCUACGGGAGGCAGCAGUGGGGAAUAUUGCACAAUGGGGGAAACCCUGAUGCAGCCAUGCCGCGUGUGUGAAGAAGGCCUUCGGGUUGUAAAGCACUUUCAGCGAGGAGGAAAGGUUGAUGCCUAAUACGUAUCAACUGUGACGUUACUCGCAGAAGAAGCACCGGCUAACUCCGUGCCAGCCGCCGCAGUAA